Pelobates cultripes (western spadefoot toad) is the source of this 298-nucleotide non-coding RNA. The record is from the annotation of a GenBank genome assembly. NCBI's taxonomy places the organism in Eukaryota, Metazoa, Chordata, Amphibia, Anura, Pelobatidae.
GUUUGGACAGCCUGUCCAAAAAUAUUAAAUGGAAGCCUAAGUAGUAAACAAAUAAAACAAGGAUAUCAUAAACUGGAUUGCACAGUGUCACAGUAAGUAAAGUGUAACCUUCAUUUUAAACACAUGAUACAAAGCUGGCCAUAAUGCAACUGAAGAUCAUAUAUUUUGAUUUGUUUGUUGAUUCAUUACUGAAAUUACAUGGUAAGCGUGUAGCUAUUUCCCCUCAUCUCAAAAUACCGUAUCAAGUUCCGAAUACUAGGAAGAGAAAAAAAGACACGAAAAAUAGUAUAAUACACAG